UUCCAUUUUCUUUCACAGCUCUUUCGCCUCCUCUCUCUAUCUCUUCAUUCUAUUUUUUUCUUUAAUAUUUCACUCCAAAUCCUUGCCCCGUUUUAAGUGUUUUAACCCCUGAUCACUGAGUCGAUACCUUGUCCGAUUGAUCUAGAACCCAGCAGCGCAUGUCAGGGCUCUGCCUGACUAAGUACGUUGGGGUUCUGUCUCGUGACAUAUUGAUAAAGUUGAAUUUGGGUUAUUAUACUUAACGUGAGUGCAUUAUAUAUUUUAUUAAAUAGCUCAGGAGUUAUACCCAAGAUUAUACCAGGAGGCUUUUUAGUUGAACCCUAAAGUUACAAAGGGAGAGUUCAAAGACGAAAGACAUCGGGUAAUUGGUGGAUUCAUGAAGAUACGAGACUGGAUCUUGAAGAUUCAAGAUGAAAUGAUUUCAGACACUCGGUUGAAGACCUUGAUCAAGAUAAUGGAUGUACAUCUUUGGAAUUUGGUUUGUUCUUAACUUAUUGGACCAAACUUCAUGUCUUAGCGGAAUUUAAAGUAUUCGAUGUUGGGCACUGGAAAUCUGGCGUUUCGUUCUUCUGUCGGUUAAGUUUGAAGACAAAGUAUCGAGCGAUGUUUUUACAUUUGGUUGUAGCUUGGUUCGCGUUAACACUAUUCGGGAUUAGUUUGAGGGAAAUGAUCUACAGUGCUUGAUGUUGGAUUCCUCGGGUCUCUCAAAGCGGCCAUUUAAGUGAUAGUCAACAAGUCUUUUAUUAGAAGGGUUGAAGAUCGUUGUGCUCUGCCGGAAAGAUCAAGUCUCAACCAAAGUUGAAAGCAGGCAUGAUAUUAUUAGUCAAGGGGGAGUCUGUAAGUGCAGUAUCCAGUGACUGAAGAUCAUCAAUGCCACACAGAAAUGAUAGCAACAGUUAAGGGGGAGUCUGUAAGUGCAGUUCCUAUCGGGUAACUGUGCUUUAUUAGUUCUGGUCAACAAGGUCAAAGGUCCAAGUCAACGAAGUCAAAGAUGAUGAAGCAUGACAAGAUUCCAGAUUACAAGGUUAACUCGGAAUAGUGGGUUCCGAGUUUGUUAAUUUAUCCAAGUUGCUCGGAUUUAAGUCAUAAACUCGGAUGGUUCCUUGUGUGUUAAAGGCUCCAAAUUUAUGAGUUAAAUUCAGAUGAUUGUUUGGUUAUUAUUCCGAGUUUGUAAGUAAGCUCGGACAAGAGUAUUCGUUGUAUCCCAAACAAUAUGUUUCGUCCGGAUUUAGUCCCUAGUCUAUAUAUAUGUGUUAUAUAGCUUAGAUUAGGGUCAUCCUUGAAAACUUUGUGCACACCUUGGAAAGUUCUGUGUGAGCCUAGAGGGAGAGACUGUGUGUCUAGAGAGAGAAAGUCCUGGUUUAGGUAUGUGUGACCUAAACUAGGUUGGGGAAGAUGAUAUAUACUCUUUAGGUUUGUAAAUUUGUGAUGAAUGAUUCAUGGAUGUUGUUGGGCGACGAUCCAGGGGGUCCCGGGGACUUUCAAUUAUAA
This 1491-nucleotide long non-coding RNA is filed under the name Helianthus annuus (common sunflower). RNAcentral describes it as "hypothetical non coding rna". The record is from RNAcentral. Lineage: Eukaryota; Viridiplantae; Streptophyta; Magnoliopsida; Asterales; Asteraceae.